ACGUAUAGGGUGUGACGCCUGCCCGGUGCCGGAAGGUUAAUUGAUGGGGUUAUCUUCGGAGAAGCUCUUGAUCGAAGCCCCGGUAAACGGCGGCCGUAACUAUAACGGUCCUAAGGUAGCGAAAUUCCUUGUCGGGUAAGUUCCGACCUGCACGAAUGGCGUAACGAUGGCCACACUGUCUCCACCCGAGACUCAGUGAAAUUGAAAUCGCUGUGAAGAUGCAGUGUACCCGCGGCUAGACGGAAAGACCCCGUGAACCUUUACUAUAGUUUUGCACUGGACUUUGAUGAUGACUGUGUAGGAUAGGUGGGAGGCUGUGAAGUGAGGACGCUAGUUCUCAUGGAGCCGCCCUUGAAAUACCACCCUGUUGUUAUUGAGGUUCUAACUUGGUCCAGUAAUCCUGGAUGAGGACAGUGUAUGAUGGGUAGUUUGACUGGGGCGGUCUCCUCCCAAAGAGUAACGGAGGAGCACAAAGGUACCCUCGGUACGGUCGGACAUCGUACCAAGAGUGUAAAGGCAAAAGGGUGCUUGACUGCGAGAGUGACGGCUCGAGCAGGAACGAAAGUUGGUCUUAGUGAUCCGGUGGUUCUGAAUGGAAGGGCCAUCGCUCAACGGAUAAAAGGUACUCCGGGGAUAACAGGCUGAUACCGCCCAAGAGUUCAUAUCGACGGCGGUGUUUGGCACCUCGAUGUCGGCUCAUCACAUCCUGGGGCUGAAGCAGGUCCCAAGGGUAUGGCUGUUCGCCAUUUAAAGUGGUACGCGAGCUGGGUUUAGAACGUCGUGAGACAGUUCGGUCCCUAUCUGCCGUGGGCGUAGGAAAAUUGAGAGGAGCUGCUCCUAGUACGAGAGGACCGGAGUGGACGAACCUCUGGUGCACCGGUUGUCACGCCAGUGGCAUGGCCGGGUAGCUAAGUUCGGACGGGAUAACCGCUGAAAGCAUCUAAGCGGGAAGCCUCCCUCAAGAUGAGUUUUCCCAUGAAGCCCGUUGAAGACUACGACGUUGAUAGGCAAGGUGUGGAAGCGCAGUAAUGCGUGAAGCUAACUUGUACUAAUUGGCUGAUUGUCUUGACCAUAUAAUCUGAG
RNAcentral lists this ribosomal RNA (1083 nucleotides) under Legionella pneumophila. Its description in RNAcentral is "partial 23S ribosomal RNA". It matches the Rfam family "Bacterial large subunit ribosomal RNA", at positions 1841 to 2925 of the family's 2925-position model. Lineage: Bacteria; Pseudomonadati; Pseudomonadota; Gammaproteobacteria; Legionellales; Legionellaceae. The record is from RNAcentral.